This 242-nucleotide unclassified non-coding RNA is filed under the name uncultured fungus. Its description in RNAcentral is "sequence contains ITS1, 5.8S rRNA gene". The stretch from base 194 to 242 matches the Rfam family "5.8S ribosomal RNA", at positions 1 to 49 of the family's 154-position model. Lineage: Eukaryota; Fungi. The record is from RNAcentral.
UCUCCGUAGGUGAACCUGCGGAGGGAUCAUUACAGAGUAUCAUGCCCUUCGGGGUAGAUCUCCCACCCUGUGUAUUAUAUACCUUUUGUUGCUUUGGCGGGCCGCCUCGGCCACCGGCUCCGGCUGGUGCGUGCCCGCCAGAGGACCCCAAACUCUGAAUGUUAGUGUCGUCUGAGUACUAUCUAAUAGUUAAAACUUUCAACAACGGAUCUCUUGGUUCUGGCAUCGAUGAAGAACGCAGC